GGGGCGGGGAGAGCAGGGAGACACAGCCAAGAGCCAAGAGCAGCGCCUCCUCGCCUGCCAAUCCUGGCACCUGUGCACCGAGCCACUGCACCGAGGAGGACCCCACUCCGGGCGAACCCCAGGCUUGAAGCCACGGACACUCAGCCCGUUGGCAGCGGGUUCUCACCGGAAGGACCUGCAACCACACACUCGGGCCACAGCCGUCGCCUGCAGCCGCGGGAGCGCCUGGCCCUUCGGAACCGCCCGCUGCGCCUGGGUCUCCGGGGAUCCUCGCCCAGGAAAGGCGCGGCAGCGGGCCGAGGGUGUUACAGAGUUGGGUGCAAGAUUCGCCUUUCCUGCUCAUCUCUUCUCCGCCCAGGAUUUAUUGUCUGUGGAGCCUUCUGGGGGUGGGGAGGGAGCUGCGCCUCCGCCACCGCCGCCGCCGCCGCCGCUGCUGCUGCGGUCGCUAGCGCGGCGCGCAGGGCAGGCGGAAGCUGGGGAGUGGAUGCGCUCCUGCCUCCCCCGCCAGCGCUUCGGGUUUCCCCUCGGCAGCUUCCCGCCGGAACCUCUCCAGCCGUCCACCUGAAGGACACCGGCACCAUGGUCUAACGUGGCCCCUGCCUGGAAUCCCCUCAUUCGCCUCCUCUUCUUCUUCGCCCCUCCUAUCCUCCGAGGACCCUCGUGCUCACUCCACUGCGGACCCCGGAACACUUUAAGGAAUAACCCUUGGCAGCUGCACGAUUCACUCUCUCCAGAACCUCAUGGGCAGUUUCUCUCGCCGGUGAUGAUGGAGAACCUAAUAAGGGGAAGGAAUCCCCCCCAAUAUCAGAGAAGUCCUUGUAAAGAAGUCCGUGCAGCACUUCGGAAGAGGCCCGAAGAGGAGUGUAAGUAUGUUUCAUAGGAUUAACUGUGUUCUAGAUAGACUUUGGUGAGUAACAGAGCAAAGCUCAAGGAUUAACCUUUAAGUGGUAAGUCAAAUAACAGAGGUUCUUAACAAAUACUUGUUGAAUCUAAUUGAAUUUUUUUAAAGAAACCUAUUAUCACAUGGUACCUGGACUCAGGCUAUAAGAACAUUGUUUCCUUGAAUGUUUCUCUUGCACUUCAAAAUGCUCUGCUGAUAAUUUGGUUCCAUGUUCAAAUGGGAUUGAAAAAGCCUGCACAGUUUACCACAUCUUUCUUGGAUAUGUAUUCCAUGAAUAUUAAUGUUUCUAAGAAGUCCUAAAGUAAAAAAAAAAAAAA
Molecule: long non-coding RNA, 1218 nt
Filed under: Sus scrofa (pig)
Lineage: Eukaryota; Metazoa; Chordata; Mammalia; Artiodactyla; Suidae
Description: lncRNA (ENSSSCG00015000637.1)
Source: RNAcentral